UACGGGGGGGGCAAGCGUUGUUCGGAAUUACUGGGCGUAAAGGGCGCGUAGGCGGCCACCGCAAGUCGACUGUGAAAUCUCCGGGCUUAACCCGGAACUGUCAGCUGAUACUGAUGUGCUAGAGUGCAGAAAGGGCAAUCGGAAUUCUUGGUGUAGCGGUGAAAUGCGUAGAUAUCAGGAGGAACACCGGUGGCGAAGGCGGGUCUCUGGGCCGUAACUGACGCUGAGGCGCGACAGCGUGGGGAGCAAACAGG
RNAcentral lists this ribosomal RNA (254 nucleotides) under uncultured bacterium. RNAcentral's name for it is "partial 16S ribosomal RNA". It matches the Rfam family "Bacterial small subunit ribosomal RNA", at positions 524 to 776 of the family's 1533-position model. The record is from RNAcentral.